Symphalangus syndactylus (siamang) is the source of this 1743-nucleotide long non-coding RNA. RefSeq lists it as uncharacterized. Lineage: Eukaryota; Metazoa; Chordata; Mammalia; Primates; Hylobatidae. The record is from RefSeq and is a predicted model, not a curated record.
UUGGAUGCGGUGAGAGACAGCCCUGUGGGUUCCAGCACAUUUGCGCCUGCCCUCCAUUCUGCAUCCAGUUCUUUCUCCUGAUUGCUGGUCCUGUUAACCAACAGCAGCCCAGGCCCAGCCCUGGACAUUUGGCUGGGGAUGGACUAGACAACGGCCGGCUGUAGACUCCUCCACCUGAUUGCUCGUGUACCCAGGGCCAGGUCAUAGAAGUUUGGCUUCUCUCAUCGACCCUGAAGGAUGCCAUCAUCCACUCUGUCCUGCAAACCUUUUGAUCUAAAACAGCGGUCUUCCAGACGUGGCCCAUCAUCAACAGCAUCAGCGUCACCCAGGAGCUGCCUGAAGCCCUCUUGUGGGAAGCAAGUUUGUCUACUCCUUUCUGUGAGAAGUUCCCAGUCACUGGCUCACCCUGGGAGAGAGAGUACGCGUGUUCUAAAGCUACCAACAGACUUCCUCAGACGCGGUGAGUCAGUACAAACACACAGGCAAGGUUGAAGAACUCCAUGGCCUUCCUCUCUCUUGGCUCAGCCAGGCACAGUUCCUCUUAGCCCAAGACAAAACUUAGCCUACGCUGUUAAAUCAAUGGUUCUACCAGCUUCCAAUCAUAAAACCAAGGGGCAAUAAUACAUAAAAUUGGAACUUAUACAUUCUGAGUUACAGCUAAUUGCAGAUGUAUCCAAGCUCAUUAUACAUUUAUCUACCAUUUGUCUGUAAAAGAUUGCCUCUACAGUCCUUCCUUCCUUCUUUUCUUCCCCAUUCCCCUUCUUCCUUUUGGUGCACAGACCCCUUUGAGAAUCUGAUGAAAGCUACUAACCUGCCACAGAAAAAUGCAGAGAUAGAAUACUUGACAGAGAAUGCUUGACAGACAAUUUAAGGUGGUUGGUGGGUCCUUAAAGGUGAUUGAGGACCCUCAUAGGAGUAAUUACAAGUUUGAAAUUACCCAACAAUUUCAUAAUGAUCCUGACCACUAUAAUACUUUAUCGCUUUGAUGAUCAGGCAUCAUUAUAUGCAGAGACAAUUUCUAGAAGUAUAUACAAGAAAUUGCAGAUGGUGGCUACCUCUCAUAUAAGGGAAUGGGAGCCUGGAAUGAGAGGGAGAUGCGUAUUUUUUCAUUGGACAUCCUUUUACACCGUUUGAUUUUUUUAUACCAUGUGCAUAUAUUAGUUUCCUAAUUAAAGAAAAAGAAUUAAUGAAAAAGUUACUUAAGAACUAUCACUACUCAUUGUCAUUUCCAUGCCUGUGAUAUGGGAAAGGGAGAGUCAUCAAUGGGGAGGCGGUCAACCGCCUACCUAGCAGGGUGAAACCCGCAUCAGCUGGCAAAGUGAAAGCAUCACUCCAGAAAAGACAGAUGGUUUCACCGGGUCUUCAGCAUAGGUCAUUGAAGUUCCAAAUGGGAGGGGAGGAUAUUAUCAAUGUUUCAUUAGGUCCCUGCAUAGCCCUGGUGCUGGCUGGAGGAACUGGCCCAAACCUCCCAAGUUUGGUCAUUUCAUAUAAAGAUAAACAUACACUCACAUACAAACUCAGUAAUUCCACUCCUAGGUAUUUCCCCAGGAGAAGUGAAAACAUAUGUUGAUACUAAAACCUCUGAAUGUUUAUAGCAGCUUUAAUCAUAAUCACCAAAAAGUAGACACAAUCCAAAUAUCCUUUUAACAGGUGAAGGGAUAAGUAAACUGUGGUCCUGCACGUUCAUACCAUGGAAUAAAUGCAUAAAUGCAGUGUGGGGAAAUCUCAAAUGUAUUUUUUUUU